RNAcentral lists this ribosomal RNA (178 nucleotides) under uncultured bacterium. Its description in RNAcentral is "partial 16S ribosomal RNA". It matches the Rfam family "Bacterial small subunit ribosomal RNA", at positions 1323 to 1500 of the family's 1533-position model. The record is from RNAcentral.
AAGCUGGAAUUGCUAGUAAUGGCAGGUCAGCAUACUGCCGUGAAUACGUUCCCGGGCCUUGUACACACCGCCCGUCACACCAUGAGAGUUGGAAAUACCCGAAGCCUGUGAGCUAACAGUAAUGAGGCAGCAGUCGAAGGUAGAGCCAAUGAUUGGGGUGAAGUCGUAACAAGGUAAC